UACGUAGGGUGCAAGCGUUAAUCGGAAUUACUGGGCGUAAAGCGUGCGCAGGCGGUGAUGUAAGACAGGUGUGAAAUCCCCGGGCUUAACCUGGGAACUGCAUUCGUGACUGCAUCGCUGGAGUGCGGCAGAGGGGGAUGGAAUUCCGCGUGUAGCAGUGAAAUGCGUAGAUAUGCGGAGGAACACCGAUGGCGAAGGCAAUCCCCUGGGCCUGCACUGACGCUCAUGCACGAAAGCGUGGGGAGCAAACAGG
This 253-nucleotide ribosomal RNA is filed under the name uncultured bacterium. RNAcentral describes it as "partial 16S ribosomal RNA". It matches the Rfam family "Bacterial small subunit ribosomal RNA", at positions 524 to 776 of the family's 1533-position model. The record is from RNAcentral.